UGCAGACUCUUCUGACUGCAGCACCACACUUCUAAGCAGACCUUUUCCUUCUGUUCAUCUUCUGUAGCAUGAUGCAACGGAUUGGGAAAGCCAGGUGCCAAGAAGGCAGCUCUGGAGGUCCAGAGGGAUCUAAGGAGCAUGACUCAAGAUUGAGCCAUGGACUUGGUGAGCAGUGCUUACUGGGACAAGAGGAGUCUCUAUUUGAUUAUGCUUCUGGAGCAAGGUGCAAGAAGAGGACUAAAUAUGAUUCAAAUACUUCUCAGGUAUGUGAAUAAAACGUAGUAAUAGAGAGAGAUCACUCACUGGAUUAAAAUGAACAUGUUUUAGUAAUGAAAACAUCCUUUUUGGAGCCCUGGAUAUGCUGCUUGAGCCGUUUUAUGGUAUGACUUGCUUAAAGUUAGUUCAGCUGCUGCAGGUUCCAAGUGUUUUCUGGAGUGACUUUGCAGCAGAGUAACAGUUCUGUGUUGUACCAAUCAUUAAAAAACUAGCCUGCAGAAAACACAGAUGAAAUAUAUGGAAUUAUACAUAAUUAUAUCACUAACAUUUAUUUCCCCUAACUACACUGUUUGACCUUCAUUCAAAUCAUCAGUAAGUUGAAAAUUUUGGAAUUUCUAAGCCGAACUGAAAAGGAGAACAUGUUGUGAUAUUUUAGUUCAGCAAAAAGAUGAAGGAUUGUGAGGUAAUACUAGGUAUUAGGCUAGGAGGUUAUCAUUUUCUUUCAUAUCCUACUUCAGGUAUGAAGAUAAAGCCUUUUGAUCCACUCAGGGUGUUUCAAUUUAAAAAUAAAUAAAUAGGAAAAAUGUCCA
Molecule: long non-coding RNA, 806 nt
Filed under: Anser cygnoides (Swan goose)
Lineage: Eukaryota; Metazoa; Chordata; Aves; Anseriformes; Anatidae
Description: lncRNA (ENSACDG00005008204.1)
Source: RNAcentral